GUGCUCACUUAGCACGCAUGCUAACAUUGGAGCAAUACAGAGAUUUGCAUGGCCCCUGCGCCAGGAUGACAUACAAAUUCUUGAAAAAACACACUUCGGA
RNAcentral lists this small nuclear RNA (100 nucleotides) under Suricata suricatta (meerkat). Lineage: Eukaryota; Metazoa; Chordata; Mammalia; Carnivora; Herpestidae. The record is from RNAcentral.